GACGUUACCUACAGAAGAAGCACCGGCUAACUCCGUGCCAGCAGCCGCGGUAAUACGGAGGGUGCGAGCGUUAAUCGGAAUUACUGGGCGUAAAGCGCAUGCAGGCGGCCUGUUAAGUCAGAUGUGAAAGCCCGGGGCGUUAACCUCGGAAUUGCAUUUGAAACUGGCAGGCUAGAGUCUUGUAGAGGGGGGUAGGAAUUUCAGGUGUAGCGGUGAAAUGCGUAGAGAUCUGAAGGAAUACCAGUGGCGAAGGCGGCCCCCUGGACAAAGACUGACGCUCAGAUGCGAAAGCGUGGGGAGCAAACAGGAUUAGAUACCCUGGUAG
Molecule: ribosomal RNA, 325 nt
Filed under: uncultured bacterium
Lineage: Bacteria
Description: bacterial SSU rRNA
Rfam family: Bacterial small subunit ribosomal RNA
Source: RNAcentral